Molecule: unclassified non-coding RNA, 1017 nt
Filed under: Hevea brasiliensis (rubber tree)
Lineage: Eukaryota; Viridiplantae; Streptophyta; Magnoliopsida; Malpighiales; Euphorbiaceae
Source: RNAcentral
CAAAUUCCAAACAAAAUUUUGGUGGACUCUUUUUUAUGCUAUUGUUUGGUCCAUCUGGAUUGCCAGAAGUAACAUAGUUUUCAGAGGCACUGAUUUCACUACUUCCUCAAUAUGUUGUACUAUGUUGUUUCGGGUUUCAGUUUAGCUAAAGGCGCUGGAUGCAAAUUUUCCCUCUACUGGUAUGGAUCUACAUUCUUCGGCUCAAUCUAUUAAAAAUUGGAUCAGUCAAACCUCUCAUAGGCCACUUGUCUCCUGGUCUCCUCCACCUUCACGCUGCCUAAAGUGGAAUGUUGACAACUCUUCACUUGGCAAACCAGGCCCUAGUGCCGUAGGAGGCAUUUUAAGAAAUUCAUUGGGCUCUUUUAUUGGUAUGUUUCUUGCAGUACGGGGAUUUUUUAUUCAAAUGCAGCGGAGCUUAAAGCAAAUUUAAAGGUUCUCCAGUUGUUGGUUUCUGCCCAUGAGGUGUGGUCUUCUGGGGAGUUAAUUUAUAUUCAAUCAGAUUCAAAGAUUGCUUUAUCUUGGGUUUCUGAUCCUAAGAAUACUCCCUUUAAGGUAAAUGAUACUCUUAAUUUAAUUGAUCAAAGCCUAGGCUCUCUUCGAAGGAUUUUUUUUACUCAUGUUUUGUGAGAAGCCAAUAGUUUAGCCAAUUUUUUAGCUAAGGAAGCCAUAAUUGAGUUUUGUAUUAUUUUUAGCUGUUAUUUUUGCAGGCUUCUUUGCUAUAUAAUCUGCAGUCAUUGUUUGUGUGGUGUCAAGUUGAUGGUGCGGGUAAGGGACUGUCUUCAGAUAUUUAGGUGCCUCAUAUGAGUUGUUGAUAGGGGGCACUGAUGUGUUUAAUGUUGGCUUUAAUAGCCUCUAGCUAAGGUGUUUAGUUUUGAUACUGAUUGGAUUUUGCUUAGGCCACGGAUUUAUUAGUCUUGUGUCCAUUCACUGGUUUGUUUGCUUGGAUAGCUUCCAGCUUUUUAUUUACUGUUAUUGAAAGCCAUUUUCUUUACUGCUGCUGAACUUCUUAGAUUUUGG